GAUGUACUCCCUCUGUCCGAAAAUACUUGUCAUCAAAAUGGACAAAAAGGGAUGUAUGUAGACCUAAAAUGCAUCCCCUUUUAUUCAUUUUGAUGACAAGUAUUUCUGGACGGAGGGAGUAUAUA
Non-coding RNA from Triticum aestivum (bread wheat), 125 nucleotides. Lineage: Eukaryota; Viridiplantae; Streptophyta; Magnoliopsida; Poales; Poaceae. The record is from Rfam.